UCACGAUGGAAAGAAAAUAAUUAAAACACUUAGGUGAAAAACGCUACCCUUCGUAAGUGGGAAGUUGAUAAUUGUUCCCAAAUUGUAGAAAAUGUCAGUACGCAUGAAAGGCAUGAAACACACAUCCUGUUCAGGUAAGUCACACCUGGUCACAUCAUUUGGACGUUUCGUGCAACAAGAACUCUGAGCAAGUUGAAUCAUAUAUUAAUUUCAUCGCACGUAUAAUGCAGGGGUAGAAGGGGUGGAUCAUAAAUCGCCCCCCACCCUCUCAAACCCACCCAAACCCCCCCAAACUUGCAGGGCUCGCGCCGCACUUUCCAUUCGCUCUCGCGCACAGGCAGCCGUGUGAUGAAGUUCUGCUCUUCUCUCACACCUUCUCAUCCUGUGGAUGGAAUAAGAUGCUUUCAAACGACGAUGCCUCGUGCAUCUCCAGCAAACCAGUCUUGGAAGGAUUUCUAAUCGAGGAUGUUCGUUUAUCCGUUUCACAUCCAGAUGAGCGCUUUUUCGGUGCCAUGGGGAGUCCGAGGAGAAUAGGCAGCUGGAGCUCGGAGUCGCCCGCAGGAGGAAGUGGAGGCAGCGCUGCCUCAUGAGGCUGAUGCAACAUGAGGGAUGGGAGACAAAUGAAGGAUGCAAAAGGAAUCACGGGAGGGAUGUGAUCUGGAUACUUUCAUAUCACUUCAGCGAUGGUGAAAAUAGCAUCAAUCAGAGCUCGCAUAUCAUCAUACGAAGAUGCAGAAGAUGGUGCAAUCAAAUGGUAAAAAAUAUAAAAUAAAUUAAAAAAAAUUCCUUAAAAGGUAAUAUGUGUAAAACUGCAUUUUUUCAAUUCAAAAUAUAUUUGAUCCAACACCGCCGCUCAAAAGUUUGGGAUCAGUAAGAUUUUUAAUGUUUUUAAAGAAGUUUCUUCGGCUCAUUAAGGCUGUAUCUAUUCGAUCAAAAAUACAGAAAAAAAACUGUUAUUUUGUGAAAUAUUACUGCAAUUUAAAAUAACAGUUUUCUAUUUUAACAUACUUUAAAAUGUAAUUUAUUUCUGUGAUGCAGCGCUGAAUUUCCAGCAUCAUUACUGCAGUCUUCAGCGUCACAUGAUCCUUCAGAAAUCAUUCUAAUAUGCUGAUUUAUAAUCAAUGUUGAAAACCAUUGUGCUGCUUCAUAUUUUUUGGGGGACCUGUGAUUAUUAUAAUUUUUUUUUUUAGGAUUCUCUGAUUAAUAAAAAGUUAAAAAGAACAGCAUUUGUUUAAAAAUAUACAGUGCUAUUCAAAAGUUUAGUAUUUUUUUUUUUUUUAAAGAAAUUAAUAAUUUUAUUCAGGAGGGAUGUGUUAAAUGAAUAUAAAGUCAUAGUAAAGACUUAUAUUGUUAGAAAAGAUUUCUAUUUUGAACAAAUGCUGCUGUUUUUAAAUUUGUAUUCAUCAAAGAAUCAAAGAAAAAGGUAUCACGUUCCAAAAACAAUAUGAAGCAGCUCAACAGUUUCAACACUCGUAAUAAAUCAGCAUAUUAGAAUGAUUUCUGAAGGAUCAUGUG
This is a long non-coding RNA of Onychostoma macrolepis, 1515 nucleotides long. RefSeq lists it as uncharacterized. Lineage: Eukaryota; Metazoa; Chordata; Actinopteri; Cypriniformes; Cyprinidae. The record is from RefSeq and is a predicted model, not a curated record. The transcript is spliced from 3 exons.